Carassius auratus (goldfish) is the source of this 1451-nucleotide long non-coding RNA. RefSeq lists it as uncharacterized. The transcript is spliced from 3 exons. The record is from RefSeq and is a predicted model, not a curated record. NCBI's taxonomy places the organism in Eukaryota, Metazoa, Chordata, Actinopteri, Cypriniformes, Cyprinidae.
UGUCCACACACCUGUUUCGGGUGUUUCUCCGUUUGGCCCGAGGAUCUACAACAGGUCAAAGAUGAAAGCACAGAUGUGUGAUUAAUAGCAGGCGAACUCGUGCACUGUACAUUUUUGUAAAGUACUUAUUUUCCAAGGAGAUAGUGUCAAUGAAGAACUUGAGAAAAUAUGAGACGUGAUUUGGGAAGAAGUGAAAUAUCAGUUUUCAGUCUUACCACAGGAGGGCAGGACAUCCUUGACUACUGGACAAACUGAGACACAGCCUGCAUGCAUAUUGAAAAAUUCUGCAGCUAACGCUGGAUCCGAUCUGCUGAGUCCUCGAAGUGGAAAAUCUCAAAGCCGGGCUUCCCUUUAUCAGCCCUUCCUUCUGAGGAAGAAAGAGAACUUCCUUCAAAACAGGUGCAGACUGUUGAUGGGGGGCUUGAGCUGGGGAAACAGACUCUGACACACUUCUGAUCUAAGGAGGAUGCCUGCCGUUUGAGUCACAGGUAACAUCAAUUACUAAUGGUACCUCACCCAGCAACCAUUAUCUUGGAGCAUUAUGAACAUUAAUACGCAGUCUUGAUCACCAUUUGCAUUUAUUCAAAUCAAAUGAAUUUCAUAUGGGGGCAUCGCACGAAAAGGGUGUCGUGGAUACGGUUUCAAUUGCUGAUAAACGCAGGGCACAGGUGUUAAUUAAAAUGUACUGUUUUAGUUGGCCAGAUAAGCGCCUGUUUGCCGCUUUCAUCUUCACACUGAGAAUACACAUGUGUUCAAAAGAGCUGAAUCUGUUUAAUAUUUCAUUUCGUAUGAUUUUUCUCUUUCAGGUCGUUGAAAAGUAAAUUGGUGCACCCUACACACAGACACACUUGCACUAAGACUUUGCUGCUGUUGCUAUGACUACAUGCGUUCUGCGGUAAAUGUGUUGUCUGACACUGUAAGGUCAAAGAGAAUACUCAUGUUUUCAUAUCUACUCACACACUUCUCUCUCUCUCACACACUUGCUCUUCUCAGACACGCUCAAGGUCGUGGGUUAUUUUGAUUAGGGCCUGUGUGACCUUGAGACUCAUAAAGAGCUGCCUACAGUACCGAUCCUUCUGGAUAUGUGGGCUGUGAACUGUCUACAGAUAACUAGCCAUCAUGCUCUGAAUUUUAGUUUUCAACCUUUGGAUCCCUUGGUGGACAAUAAUGUUAAUAUUAAUGUGUUUUCACACUUUAUAAUGCUAAGAUUUAGGGCUGGGAAUUGUAAAGUUUUUUCCAGGUCUGGUUCUGAUUACGUUCCAUUUAAACUGUUAAUUAACCUACCAAAACAAAUAUUAUGGAAAAAUAAUACUCAACUCGAAUUAUCCUGGUAAUAUCAACAAAUUCAACAUGUUAUUUAGGUUUUUUUGCGAAACAAUUUUUUUUCUCCUGAAUAAAAAUAAAUCUGUGAGGACGCAGGACCUCUUCUGGGUAAAUGUAUUUCCAGCAGG